Myodes glareolus (Bank vole) is the source of this 1504-nucleotide RNA transcript. It is a transcript of the gene named family with sequence similarity 228 member B, with no coding region annotated. The record is from RefSeq and is a predicted model, not a curated record. Lineage: Eukaryota; Metazoa; Chordata; Mammalia; Rodentia; Cricetidae.
CCUCGGUGCUGCUCGACGAGGUGCGCGCGCGUUCUCGUCUGCCCUCGUGGCCGUGGGGCGCGUGGGACCGCGUCCAGGAGACCGAGGCCCUAACGUUCGCGCGUUCUGAAGCCACGGUCUCGGGCUGGGGCCGCGGGCGCACUGUGCUGCCGGAGAGCCGAAAGCUCUGCCGCCAGAGGGGGCUUGAAGGGCCUGGUCGAGGCCUGCACGGCCUGGCCGCCUCGCGCACACUGUCUGCGUCAGCGGGCGGAGCGGGGACCGGGCCUCGCGGGCCCUACACCCUGCUUUUCUAGGGACCCUGUUACUUGGUGACCACAAUGAAAAAUGGGAGCCAAUAUGAUCUGGUAAUGGGCACACUUCCUAAGCGCAAGAGCUCCAAAGAAUGGUUGGAACCACAGUCGCUUUCUUUUAUGGAGGCUUUAGCUAAAGAAGACACUGAUGCAGCUGUUCAAUCAAUUUUAUACAGAGAAAAUUAUGUAAUGAAGGAAUUAGAUAAGUAUUUAAAUCAUCAUGACUUCUUAAAUGCAAGAAGAAAAGAAAUGCUGUAUAAAAAAUGGGUUGAGCGUGUGGAAGAUCCUCUACAGAAGAAAAUUAUAGAAAAAGUUUCUUCACAUAAGAAGAUUAAAAAGAGGAGACGACAAGAAUUAGAGAACUUUUUGAGAUAUGUUAAUAAGAAGGAAAAUGCGUUUAUAGAGCAUUAUGAUCCAAAAGAGUACGACCCUUUUUAUAGGAGCAAAGAGGACCCCAAUUUUCUGAAGGUUAUCAUGCCGCCAUUCCGUGACCCUUUGAAGAAAGCUCAAUAUGACAAGGAUGAUGAGAAGCGAACUCUUCUUCAGUGUGAGACUGGCAAAAUCUAUACAAUGAAAGAAUUUAAAGAGAUCGAGAAGGCUCAAUUGCUGUCCAGGUUCCCGAGUAUUUCUAAUUCAAGGCAAUGCAUGACUCCAAAUGAAUGGCUUAAAGUGCCCAUGAGAUAUAUAGAGAGUGAAUUUUGUAAAAAGAGCAGGGUCAAAGUGAAGGUGAAUUUUAAUGCUGGUAGUUUUGAUUUGAAUCCACGGAGAAGGGUGCCUGAUAUUGUGGAAUUCCAGAAGGAAGAAAAGGCGGUCAGUUACAAAAACAAAGGACUUUCCUCUCUGGACAGUGAAGAUCUGUGUUUCCAGGAAGGGAAAAACCCAAGUUCCAAAGGGAUCAGUGCUGAAGGUUGCCAUUCUUCUGCAGCCCUCUGCCAGGAGGUAGAAAGGAACAGGGACCAGGAUGCGGUGAGAGCUGGCACAGUCAGUCCCAUUUUGUGAUACACAGAACAGCACUUGCUGACACCCAGUCCAAGCAGCUGGGAACUUCUUGAUAUGGUUGCGACAACCACACAUCCUGAUUCCUGAUCUGAACAAGGACCCACAAAAAAAGGCUGCUUUAGACGAAGUUACCUGGCAGGAAUCCUUCUGAGGCAGACCAAGGAAGAAACAUAAAAAUCAUCCUGUUCUCUGCAAUAAACUUCUUUUGAUUUAGA